UACGGGGGGGGCAAGCGUUGUUCGGAUUUACUGGGCGUAAAGGGCGCGUAGGCGGCAACUCAAGUCAUCUGUGAAAUCUCCGGGCUUAACUCGGAACGGUCAGAUGAUACUGUUUUGCUAGAGUGCAGAAGGGGCAAUCGGAAUUCUUGGUGUAGCGGUGAAAUGCGUAGAUAUCAAGAGGAACACCUGAGGUGAAGACGGGUUGCUGGGCUGACACUGACGCUGAGGCGCGAAAGCCAGGGGAGCAAACGGG
Molecule: ribosomal RNA, 253 nt
Filed under: uncultured bacterium
Lineage: Bacteria
Description: partial 16S ribosomal RNA
Rfam family: Bacterial small subunit ribosomal RNA
Source: RNAcentral